GGGAUUGUGGCUCAGUGGUAGAGCACUCGCCUAGCAUGUGUGAGGCCCUGGGUUUGAUCCUCAGCACCA
Molecule: transfer RNA, 69 nt
Filed under: Ictidomys tridecemlineatus (thirteen-lined ground squirrel)
Lineage: Eukaryota; Metazoa; Chordata; Mammalia; Rodentia; Sciuridae
Description: Spermophilus tridecemlineatus (thirteen-lined ground squirrel) tRNA
Rfam family: tRNA
About the family: Transfer RNA (tRNA) molecules are approximately 80 nucleotides in length. Their secondary structure includes four short double-helical elements and three loops (D, anti-codon, and T loops).
Source: Rfam by way of RNAcentral